RNAcentral lists this ribosomal RNA (376 nucleotides) under uncultured organism. RNAcentral's name for it is "partial 16S ribosomal RNA". It matches the Rfam family "Bacterial small subunit ribosomal RNA", at positions 527 to 897 of the family's 1533-position model. The record is from RNAcentral.
GUAGGUGGCAAGCGUUGUCCGGGAAUUAUUGGGGCGUAAAGCGCGCGCAGGCGGUUCUUCAAGUCUGAUGUGAAAGCCCACGGGCUCAACCGUGGAGGGUCAUUGGAAACUGGAGAACUUGAGUACAGAAGAGGAAAGCGGAAUUCCACGUGUAGCGGUGAAAUGCGUAGAGAUGUGGAGGAACACCAGUGGCGAAGGCGGCUUUCUGGUCUGUAACUGACGCUGAGGCGCGAAAGCGUGGGGAGCAAACAGGAUUAGAUACCCUGGUAGUCCACGCCGUAAACGAUGAGUGCUAAGUGUUAGGGGGUUUCCGCCCCUUAGUGCUGCAGCUAACGCAUUAAGCACUCCGCCUGGGGAGUACGGCCGCAAAGGCUGA